GUGGGGAAUAUUGGACAAUGGGCGAAAGCCUGAUCCAGCCAUGCCGCGUGUGUGAAGAAGGUCUUCGGAUUGUAAAGCACUUUAAGUUGGGAGGAAGGGCAUUAACCUAAUACGUUAGUGUUUUGACGUUACCGACAGAAUAAGCACCGGCUAACUUCGUGCCAGCAGCCGCGGUAAUACGAAGGGUGCAAGCGUUAAUCGGAAUUACUGGGCGUAAAGCGCGCGUAGGUGGUUCAGUAAGUUGGAUGUGAAAUCCCCGGGCUCAACCUGGGAACUGCAUCCAAAACUGCUGAGCUAGAGUACGGUAGAGGGUGGUGGAAUUUCCUGUGUAGCGGUGAAUUGCGUAGAUAUAGGAAGGAACACCAGUGGCGAAGGCGACCACCUGGACUGAUACUGACACUGAGGUGCGAAAGCGUGGGGAGCAAACAGGAUUAGAUACCCCAGUAGUCC
This 450-nucleotide ribosomal RNA is filed under the name uncultured bacterium. RNAcentral's name for it is "partial 16S ribosomal RNA". It matches the Rfam family "Bacterial small subunit ribosomal RNA", at positions 354 to 796 of the family's 1533-position model. The record is from RNAcentral.